GAGAGGGGAAGGGGUUAAAAGCGGUGCACGGCGCUGUGUGCGCCUUGUUGGGGUGGGGAGGGUGCGAGGUGUUUGUGGUGCAAUGCACGGCUUGCAAUAAACUUGCGUUCUGAUGCACGGGGUGCAAAUCUCCCGGGCAAUAAAUCCCCAUUACAAUGCACUGCAGCGGUGCAGACGGUGCAAAGCAGCCGCGUUGCAAUCCUGGAGGUGUGAGGUGUUUGUGGUGCAAUGCACGGCUUGCAAUAAACUUGCGUUCUGAUGCACGGGGUGCAAAUCUCCAGGGCAAUAAAUCCCCGUUGCAAUGCA
Molecule: non-coding RNA, 306 nt
Organism: Meleagris gallopavo (turkey)
Lineage: Eukaryota; Metazoa; Chordata; Aves; Galliformes; Phasianidae
Source: RefSeq, a predicted model, not a curated record